RNAcentral lists this ribosomal RNA (379 nucleotides) under uncultured organism. Its description in RNAcentral is "partial 16S ribosomal RNA". It matches the Rfam family "Bacterial small subunit ribosomal RNA", at positions 527 to 896 of the family's 1533-position model. The record is from RNAcentral.
AGAGGUGGCGAACGUUGUUCGGAUUUACUGGGCGUAAAGGGUCCGCAGGCGGCUCGGUAUGUCAGAUGUGAAAGCCCACAGCUUAACUGUGGAAUUGCAUUUGAAACUGCCGGGCUAGAGUACUGGAGGGGAGAAGGGAACACUUGGUGUAGCGGUGAAAUGCGUAGAUAUCAAGUGGAACACCGGAGGCGAAGGCGCUUCUCUGGACAGAUACUGACGCUCAUGGACGAAAGCUAGGGGGUUAGCGAAAGGGAUUAGAUACCCCGUGUAGUCCUAGCCGUAAACCGGUGUGCACUAGACGUGGGUGGAUUUACCCCCCGAUCCGUGUCUGAGCUAACGCAUUAAGUGCACCCGCCCUGGGAGUACGGUCGCAAGAUUA